UUUUUUCAUACAUUUAGUAUCUGUAAAAUUAGCAAAAUAAUUUAAACCUUUUAAAAUUAUGUUGAUUGACGAUAAACUACCAUUUUGAUAUAAUGUUGAAACUGUUGUACUAAAAAUGCCACUGGUCGUCACUUUGACGCAAUUUAUAUUUUGAAAUUAACACCUUAACCUUGUAUUGUGAAUUAUUGUAUUUUAGGGGGGUCGGGUAUAUAAAACAAAGUCAAAAAUCACAAAUAAAGCUAUUUGGCUGUUUUGCACGAUCCAGUUAUUAAUGUUUUUUCAAUUCAGUAAUUUUCUAUGUUUACUUAGUCUAUUAGUGCACAUGCCAACACACUUCUUCUCACCUAAUCUCGACCCUUUUCGAUGUUAAGAAGUCAAAAUGUUAAUUUCAUGCUCUAAAGCCAUUUUCUCAAUGACUUACAUGACAAGAUCAACUUUAAUUGGUCAAUGUGUGUCAAGCGUUCAUGUCUCGGGAAUCAACUGAAUUGACUACUCACAUUUCAGCUCAAUAUUAGGCUUUCCCGUAUAGGUUAGUUUGUAUGAAGGAUAAGUAAUUGGGAACUUGACCACUUUUAAAAUUUGAGUGAUUGGCAUUUCAUUUUGAGCUGAGGUCAGCUUAUAAGUUACAGGGAAUAUGUCAGAUUUGUCUGGCCC
RNAcentral lists this long non-coding RNA (654 nucleotides) under Mytilus galloprovincialis (Mediterranean mussel). The record is from RNAcentral. Lineage: Eukaryota; Metazoa; Mollusca; Bivalvia; Mytilida; Mytilidae.